UACGGAAGGCAGCAGUGGGGAAUAUUGCACAAUGGGCGAAAGCCUGAUGCAGCUAUGCCGCGUGUAUGAAGAAGGCCUUAGGGUUGUAAAGUACUUUCAUCGGGGAGGAAAAAACAAAACUAAUAAUUUUAUUUCUUGACGUUACCCGAAAAAGAAGCACCGGCUAACUCCGUGCCAGCAGCCGCGGUAAUACGGAGGGUGCUAGCGUUAAUCAGAAUUACUGGGCGUAAAGAGCACGUAGGUGGUUUUUUAAGUCAGAUGUGAAAUCCCUGGGCUUAACCUAGGAACUGCAUUUUGAAACUGAAAUACUAGAGUAUCGUAGAGGGAGGUAGAAUUCUAGGUGUAGCGGUGAAAUGCGUAGAUAUCUGGAGGAAUACCUGUGGCGAAAGCGGCCUCCUAAACGAAUACUGACACUGAGGUGCGAAAGCGUGGGGAGCAAAACAGGGAUUAGAUACC
Molecule: ribosomal RNA, 456 nt
Filed under: uncultured bacterium
Lineage: Bacteria
Description: bacterial SSU rRNA
Rfam family: Bacterial small subunit ribosomal RNA
Source: RNAcentral